RNAcentral lists this ribosomal RNA (659 nucleotides) under Alteromonadaceae bacterium GUDS1125. Its description in RNAcentral is "bacterial SSU rRNA". It matches the Rfam family "Bacterial small subunit ribosomal RNA", at positions 62 to 717 of the family's 1533-position model. Lineage: Bacteria; Pseudomonadati; Pseudomonadota; Gammaproteobacteria; Alteromonadales; Alteromonadaceae. The record is from RNAcentral.
UCGAGCGCGAACGUUCCUUCGGGAACAAGUAGAGCGGCGGACGGGUGAGUAACGCGUGGGAAAUUGCCCAGUAGUGGGGGACAACAUUCGGAAACGGAUGCUAAUACCGCAUACGCCCUACGGGGGAAAGCAGGGGAUCUUCGGACCUUGCGCUAUUGGAUAUGCCCGCGUCGGAUUAGCUAGUUGGUGAGGUAAUGGCUCACCAAGGCAACGAUCCGUAGCUGGUCUGAGAGGAUGAUCAGCCACACUGGGACUGAGACACGGCCCAGACUCCUACGGGAGGCAGCAGUGGGGAAUAUUGGACAAUGGGCGCAAGCCUGAUCCAGCCAUGCCGCGUGUGUGAAGAAGGCCCUAGGGUUGUAAAGCACUUUCAGUAGGGAGGAAGGCCUUAAAGUUAAUACCUUUGAGGAUUGACGUUACCUACAGAAGAAGCACCGGCUAACUCCGUGCCAGCAGCCGCGGUAAUACGGAGGGUGCGAGCGUUAAUCGGAAUUACUGGGCGUAAAGCGCGCGUAGGCGGUUAGUUAAGCUGGAUGUGAAAGCCCCGGGCUCAACCUGGGAACUGCAUUCAGAACUGGCUGGCUAGAGUACGAGAGAGGGUAGUGGAAUUUCCUGUGUAGCGGUGAAAUGCGUAGAUAUAGGAAGGAACAUCAGUGGCG